CCACUCGACCAAGCCACUCGGC
RNAcentral lists this non-coding RNA (22 nucleotides) under Arabidopsis thaliana (thale cress). The record is from RNAcentral. Lineage: Eukaryota; Viridiplantae; Streptophyta; Magnoliopsida; Brassicales; Brassicaceae.